This 431-nucleotide ribosomal RNA is filed under the name Peltidocotyle lenha. RNAcentral's name for it is "16S ribosomal RNA". It matches the Rfam family "Bacterial large subunit ribosomal RNA", at positions 1830 to 2602 of the family's 2925-position model. The record is from RNAcentral. Lineage: Eukaryota; Metazoa; Platyhelminthes; Cestoda; Proteocephalidea; Proteocephalidae.
UUUCCAUAUUUAAAUUUUUAUGGUAGUACCUGCUCUAUGUAAUAUUUUAUAAAUGGCCGCAGUAUCUUGACUGUGCAAAGGUAGCAUAAUUAAUUGCCUUAUAAUUGAAGGCUUGUCUGAAUGGUUUGACGUGGUAAUUACAAAUAUUUGAUUUUUUGGUGAAAUUGAUUUGGAGGGCACAGAAUCCUCUUUUGUUAAUUAGACGGAAAGACCCCAGGAUCUUUUGUUUUUGUCUGGGGCAGAUGAAAAUUUUUCAUUUUUAUUUUGACCCUUUUUGGUUCAGUGAGUUAAGUUACCCUGGGGAUAACAGUGUAAUAGUUUAUUAGAGGUCUUAUCGAAUAAACUGUUUGCUACCUCGAUGUUGACUUAGGUAAAUAAGUUGGGCGCAGUAGUCUAGCUUUUUGGUCUGUUCGACCUUAGUUACCUCCAUG